ACAAGCAGCGGAGCGUGUGGUUUAAUUCGAUGCUACACGAAGAACCUUACCAGGGUUUGACAUGCAAGUGGUAGGAAACCGAAAGGCGACGACCUUCGGGAGCUUGCACAGGUGCUGCAUGGCUGUCGUCAGCCCGUGUCGUGAGAUGUUCGGUUAAGUCCGCUAACGAGCGCAACCCUCGCUGUGUGUUACAAGUGUCACACGGGUACUGCCGGUCUUAAGCCGGAGGAAGGUGGGGAUGACGUCAAGUCAGCAUGGCCUUUAUGUCCUGGGCUACACACACGCUACAAUGGCCAACACAAUAGGUUGCUAAGCCGCGAGGUGGAGCCAAUCCUCAAAGUUGGUCUCAGUUCAGAUUGCAGGCUGCAACCCGCCUGCAUGAAGAUGGAGUUGCUAGUAACCGCAGGUCAGCUAUACUGCGGUGAAUACGUUCCCGGGCCUU
RNAcentral lists this ribosomal RNA (442 nucleotides) under uncultured Leptolinea sp. RNAcentral's name for it is "bacterial SSU rRNA". It matches the Rfam family "Bacterial small subunit ribosomal RNA", at positions 925 to 1382 of the family's 1533-position model. Lineage: Bacteria; Bacillati; Chloroflexota; Anaerolineae; Anaerolineales; Anaerolineaceae. The record is from RNAcentral.